Stegostoma tigrinum is the source of this 351-nucleotide long non-coding RNA. RefSeq lists it as uncharacterized. The record is from RefSeq and is a predicted model, not a curated record. The transcript is spliced from 3 exons. NCBI's taxonomy places the organism in Eukaryota, Metazoa, Chordata, Chondrichthyes, Orectolobiformes, Stegostomatidae.
CAGUCUGAGAGCAUUUGAACCUUAAUCUGAGUGGAAAUCUGUUCUCGAUCACUUUAACAUCAGGAGAAAUGCUUAUUAAGUUGGAAGAUUUUGGAAGCAAUUUGCAAGAGACUGGAAGUUUGGAUGCAGACAGAGGGAAGCAUAACUGUUUUUUUGGAGUGGGAAUCAUGUCUGGGUCUCAGGCUCUGAAGAAAAGUCCCCGGCCUUUUCACGUGUCAGCACUGGGACCGUCCUGAGACAGGUGGCAUCGUUAUGGCACUGCAGGAGGCCCAGGAUGGACAUGUCAUCUGACGAGUGGGAGGAGGAGUUGAAGUGCUUCACGACUGGGAGGUGCAGUGGUUUAUUGCGAAC